UUGGAGGGCAAGUCUGGUGCCAGCAGCCGCGGUAAUUCCAGCUCCAAUAGCGUAUAUUAAAGUUGUUGCAGUUAAAAAGCUCGUAGUUGAACUUCGGGAUCAAUUGAUUGGUCAUGCCGUUGGUAUGUACUGGUCAUAUUGGUUCUCACCUUCUAAGGAACCAUAAUGUCAUUAAUUUGAUGUUUUGGGGAAUUAGGACUGUUACCUUGAAAAAAUUAGAGUGUUUAAAGCAGGCUAACGCUUGAAUACAUUAGCAUGGAAUAAUGAAAUAGGACAUCGCAUUCUAUUUUGUUGGUUUCUAGGAUCGAUGUAAUGAUUAAUAGGGAUAGUUGGGGGCAUUAGUAUUCAAUUGUCAGAGGUGAAAUUCUUGGAUUUAUUGAAGACUAACUACUGCGAAAGCAUUUGCCAAGGAUGUUUUCAUUAAUCAAGAACGAAAGUUAGGGGAUCGAAGACGAUCAGAUACCGUCGUAGUCUUAACCAUAAACUAUGCCGACUAGGGAUCGGAUGAUGUUGAUUUUUUAAUGACUCAUUCGGCGCCUUACGGGAAAC
Molecule: ribosomal RNA, 549 nt
Filed under: uncultured Glomus
Lineage: Eukaryota; Fungi; Glomeromycota; Glomeromycetes; Glomerales; Glomeraceae
Description: SSU rRNA
Rfam family: Eukaryotic small subunit ribosomal RNA
Source: RNAcentral